AUACGGAGGGUGCGAGCGUUAUCCGGAUUUAUUAGGUUUUAAGGGUGUGUAGGCGGGAGCCUAAGUCAGUGGUGAAAUCUCACAGCUUAACUGUGAAACUGCCAUUGAAACUGGGUUUCUUGAGUAUAGUUGAGGUAGGCGGAAUGUGUAAUGUAGCGGUGAAAUGCAUAGAUAUUACACAGAACACCGAUUGCGAAGGCAGCUUACUAAGCUAUUACUGACGCUGAUGCACGAAAGCGUGGGUAGCGAACAGGAUUAGAAACCCCGGUAGUCC
RNAcentral lists this ribosomal RNA (274 nucleotides) under uncultured bacterium. RNAcentral's name for it is "partial 16S ribosomal RNA". It matches the Rfam family "Bacterial small subunit ribosomal RNA", at positions 523 to 796 of the family's 1533-position model. The record is from RNAcentral.